AUAGACCAUGAGAUCUGGAAUGACUCAUGGNUUCAAAGUUCCGGCGCUUUAGGAUCGGUCUGCGGCCUAUCAGGUAGUAGUGGGUGUAAUGUACCCCCUAGCCUAUUACGGGUAUGGGCCUUGAGAGAGGGAGCCCAGAGUUGGAUUCUGAGACACGAAUCCAGGCCCUACGGGGCGCAGCAGUCGCGAAAACUUCACAAUGGGCGAAAGCCCGAUGAGGGAAUUCCUAGUGCUAGCACUUUUGUGUUAGCUUUUCUUUAGCGUAGAUAACUAGAGGAAUAAGGGCUGGGUAAGACGGGUGCCAGCCGCCGCGGUAAUACCCGCAGCCCGAGUGGUGGUCGAUUUUAUUGAGUCUAAAACGUUCGUAGCCGGUCUGAUAGAUCCUUGGGUAAAUCGGGGGGCUUAACCUUCCGAAUUCCGAGGAGGCCGUCAGGCUUGGGAUCGGGAGAGGUAAGAGGUACUUCAGGGGUAGGGGUAAAAUCCUGUAAUCCUUGGAGGACCACCGGUGGCGAAGGCGUCUUACUAGAACGAAUCCGACGGUGAGGGACGAAGCCCUGGGUCGCAAACGGGAUUAGAUACCCCGGUAGUCUAGGGUGUAAACGCUGCAGACUUGGUGUUGGAGGCCCUUCGGGGGCAUUCAGUGCCGGAGAGAAGUUGUUAAGUCUGCUACUUGGGGAGUACGUCCGCAAGGAUGAAACUUAAAGGAAUUGGCGGGGGAGCACCGCAACGGGAGGAGCGUGCGGUUUAAUUGGAUUCAACACCGGAAAACUCACCAAGGGAGACCAUCACAUGAAAGCCAGGCUAAUGACUU
This 811-nucleotide ribosomal RNA is filed under the name uncultured methanogenic archaeon. RNAcentral's name for it is "bacterial SSU rRNA". It matches the Rfam family "Archaeal small subunit ribosomal RNA", at positions 156 to 968 of the family's 1478-position model. Lineage: Archaea; Methanobacteriati; Methanobacteriota. The record is from RNAcentral.